RNAcentral lists this long non-coding RNA (507 nucleotides) under Heterocephalus glaber (naked mole-rat). Its description in RNAcentral is "lncRNA (ENSHGLG00100052282.1)". Lineage: Eukaryota; Metazoa; Chordata; Mammalia; Rodentia; Bathyergidae. The record is from RNAcentral.
CCCAUCUACACACACACUUGGCUUCUACAGCAACCAACAUGGCUUCCUCACAGGAAGCCUCAGAGCUCAGCUCUGGGGCUCAUGGACUUCUCUGUUCUGGUUCUUAAUCCUCGUGUUGGUGAGGCAAGGUGGCUCACCCUGAUCCCUGGCUGUCUGAAUAACACGCUCACCUUCAAUUCCCCACCUUCUCUCCAAAAGAGACUUUGAUCGAUGACUCUGACAUUCCUUUCGUGGCAAAAUGAAACGUUCAGUUGGAAAACUGCAAACAGGGUUUUGGUUAUAUAAAGCUUUUUGAAAGCCUGGCUGUAUUGUAAAAAGGAAGGCGCACCUAUAAUAAAUCUAAUGAACAUCCUCCAUAAUACUGUCAUGAAAAACAUUGUCUUCCAAGAAAUCUGAUAUAAAUUGAAACAUCGCUGGUCCAGUAAUUAAAGAGCAGAGUAAGUCAGUAUGUAAUUGGGGGUUGAACUGUGUGGAAGCAACCAAACACCCUUGUCUUUUGAAAUCUAC